UCCGAAUUGGUGUAGUGGCUAACAUUUGACGCUCUCAACAAGAAAGUCUCCUUUCGAGGAAAACAAUCUUGCGAUGUGCCGUCAAGCCCGGGGUUCGAUUCCCCGAUUCGGAG
Xylaria sp. CBS 124048 is the source of this 113-nucleotide non-coding RNA. NCBI's taxonomy places the organism in Eukaryota, Fungi, Ascomycota, Sordariomycetes, Xylariales, Xylariaceae. The record is from the annotation of a GenBank genome assembly.